UAGGGAAUCUUCGGCAAUGGACGGAAGUCUGACCGAGCAACGCCGCGUGAGUGAAGAAGGUUUUCGGAUCGUAAAGCUCUGUUGUAAGAGAAGAACGAGUGUGAGAGUGGAAAGUUCACACUGUGACGGUAUCUUACCAGAAAGGGACGGCUAACUACGUGCCAGCAGCCGCGGUAAUACGUAGGUCCCGAGCGUUGUCCGGAUUUAUUGGGCGUAAAGCGAGCGCAGGCGGUUAGAUAAGUCUGAAGUUAAAGGCUGUGGCUUAACCAUAGUACGCUUUGGAAACUGUUUAACUUGAGUGCAAGAGGGGAGAGUGGAACUCCAUGUGUAGCGGUGAAAUGCGUAGAUAUAUGGAGGAACACCGGUGGCGAAAGCGGCUCUCUGGCUUGUAACUGACGCUGAGGCUCGAAAGCGUGGGGAGCAAACAGGAUUAGAUACCCUGGUAGUCCACGCCGUAAACGAUGAGUGCUAGGUGUUAGACCCUUUCCGGGGUUUAGUGCCGUAGCUAACGCAUUAAGCACUCCGCCUGGGGAGUACGACCGCAAGGUUG
RNAcentral lists this ribosomal RNA (550 nucleotides) under uncultured bacterium. RNAcentral's name for it is "bacterial SSU rRNA". It matches the Rfam family "Bacterial small subunit ribosomal RNA", at positions 355 to 896 of the family's 1533-position model. The record is from RNAcentral.